RNAcentral lists this non-coding RNA (952 nucleotides) under unidentified. RNAcentral describes it as "Acanthogobius stigmothonus 12S ribosomal RNA". It matches the Rfam family "Bacterial small subunit ribosomal RNA". The record is from RNAcentral.
ACAAAAGCUUGGUCCUGACUUUUCUAUCAGCUUUGGUUUAACUUAUACAUGCAAGUAUCCGCACCCCUGUGAGAAUGCCCUCCGCGCCCCCCCCCCGUAACGGGUCGAAGGAGCGGGUAUCAGGCGCGACUCUAAGUCAGCCCACGACGCCUUGUUUAGCCACACCCUCAAGGGAACUCAGCAGUAAUAAAUAUUAAGCAAUAAGUGCAAACUUGACUUAAUUAAGACCAAUCAGGGCCGGUAAAACUCGUGCCAGCCACCGCGGUUAUACGAGAGGCCCAAGUUGAUAAACACCGGCAUAAAAUGUGGUAAGUACAAAAAGAUACUAAAGCCGAACGCCUUCAAGACUGUUAUAAGUUUUCGAAAAUAGGAAGCCUACCCACGAAAGUGGCUUUAAGAUAUAUGAUCCACGAAAGCUAGGGGACAAACUGGGAUUAGAUACCCCACUAUGCCUAGCCAUAAACAUAAGUAAAAUUAGCCCACCCACUUGCCCGGGAACUACGAGCAUAAGCUUAAAACCCAAAGGACCUGGCGGUGCUUUAAACCCCCCUAGAGGAGCCUGUUCUAUAACCGAUAGUCCCCGUUAAACCUCACCCUCUCUUGUUCUUCCCGCCUAUAUACCGCCGUCGUCAGCCCACCCUGUGAAGGUAUAAUAGUGGGCUCAAUUGGUACUACCUAAAACGUCAGGUCGAGGUGUAGCGUACGAGAGGGGAAGAAAUGGGCUACAUUUACUGGUUCAGUAAAUACGGACAAUGCUCUGAAACAAGCAUUAGAAGGAGGAUUUAGCAGUAAGGAAGGAAUAGAGUGCCUCCCUGAAACUGGCCCUGAAGCGCGCACACACCGCCCGUCGCCCUCCUCAAAAAUUUUAAAAAUAGUAAAUAAAAAGCAAUAUCAACAAAGAGGAGGCAAGUCGUAACAUGGUAAGUGUACCGGAAGGUGCACUUGGAAAAAU